ACUAGUCGAGUGCUCUUGCGCGGAUAAUGUACCGGGGCUAAGCAUAUUACCGAAACUGUGGAUGCGUAAGCAUGGUAGGAUAGCGUAAUUAACGCGAUGAAGGAUGACCGUAAGGACAUGUUGGAGCGUUAACUAGUGAGAAUUCCGGUAUGAGUAGCGAAAGAUAGGUGAGAAUCCUAUCCACCGAAUGAGUAAGGUUUCCCCCGGAAGGCUCGUCCGCGGGGGGUUAGUCGGGACCUAAGGCGAGGCUGAAAAGCGUAGUCGAUGGACAACAGGUUGAUAUUCCUGUACCGAUAUUUAAUUGCCGAAGGAAGGACGCAGAAGGAUAACACAGGCCACUAUUGGAUGUGGUUUUAAACAGUUAGUCUUCAUAAGAGUCAAAUGCUUUUAUGUUUAAGGAUAAGCUGUGAAUGUACCAAGUUUACUUGGAAAUUGUGUGAUUUCACGCUGCUGAAAAAAGUUUCGUAGGAAGAAAAUAUUGCCCGUACCGCAAACCGACACAGGUACUCGAGUGGAGAACACUAAGGUGAGCGAGUGAACUAUUGUUAAGGAACUCUGCAAAAUGAGUCCGUAACUUCGGAAGAAGGACUGCUGGUUUUAUACCAGCCGCAGCAAAUAGGCCCAAACAACUGUUUAUCAAAAACACAGGUUUCUGCAAAAUCGUAAGAUGAAGUAUAGGGCUGACGCCUGCCCAGUGCUGGAAGGUUAAAAGGAGGACUUAGCUUCGGCGAAGGUCUUAAUUGAAGCCCCAGUGAACGGCGGCCGUAACUAUAACGGUCCUAAGGUAGCGAAAUUCCUUGUCGGGUAAGUUCCGACCCGCAUGAAAGGCGUAAUGAUUUGGGCGCUGUCUCAACAAUAGACUCGGUGAAAUUUAAAUUCCAGUGAAGAUGCUGGGUACCCGCGACAGGACGGAAAGACCCCGUGGAGCUUUACUGUAGCUUGAUAUUGAAUGUUUGUGCUGCAUGUGCAGGAUAGGUAGGAGACUUUGAAGUCGGAACGCUAGUUUCGAUUGAGUCACCCUUGAGAUACUACCUCUGUUGUAUGAACGUUCUAACUCUGAUCAGUUAUCCUGAUCGAAGACAGUGUCUGGCAGGCAGUUUGACUGGGGCGGUCGCCUCCUAAAAGAUAACGGAGGCGCUCAAAGGUUUGCUCAGAAUGGUUGGAAAUCAUUCGUAGCGUGUAAAGGCAUAAGCAAGCUUGACUGUGAGACUGACAAGUCGAGCAGGUACGAAAGUAGGACUUAGUGAUCCGGUGGUUCCGUAUGGAAGGGCCAUCGCUCAACGGACAAAAGCUACCCCGGGGAUAACAGGCUCAUCUCCCCCAAGAGUCCACAUCGACGGGGAGGUUUGGCACCUCGAUGUCGGCUCAUCGCAUCCUGGGGCUGUAGUCGGUCCCAAGGGUUGGGCUGUUCGCCCAUUAAAGCGGUACGCGAGCUGGGUUCAGAACGUCGUGAGACAGUUCGGUCCCUAUCCGUCGUGGGCGCAGGAAAUUUGAGAGGAUCUGUCCUUAGUACGAGAGGACCGGGAUGGACAUACCUCUGGUGUACCAGUUGUUCUGCCAAGAGCACCGCUGGGUAGCUACGUAUGGAUUAGAUAAUCGCUGAAAGCAUCUAAGUGAGAAACUAACCUCGAGAUGAGAUUUCCCAUUCGUCAGAAGUAAGACCCCUGAGAGACGAUCAGGUAGAUAGGCUAGAAGUGGAAGUGUAGUGAUGCAUGGAGCGGACUAGUACUAAUAGGUCGAGGACUUAACCAAG
This 1753-nucleotide ribosomal RNA is filed under the name Oenococcus oeni. Its description in RNAcentral is "bacterial LSU rRNA". It matches the Rfam family "Bacterial large subunit ribosomal RNA", at positions 1144 to 2925 of the family's 2925-position model. Lineage: Bacteria; Bacillati; Bacillota; Bacilli; Lactobacillales; Lactobacillaceae. The record is from RNAcentral.